RNAcentral lists this ribosomal RNA (425 nucleotides) under uncultured prokaryote. Its description in RNAcentral is "bacterial SSU rRNA". It matches the Rfam family "Bacterial small subunit ribosomal RNA", at positions 355 to 774 of the family's 1533-position model. The record is from RNAcentral.
UGGGGAAUCAUGGUCAAUGGGCGAAAGCCUGAACCUGCGACGCCGCGUGAGUGCUGAAGGUCGUAAGAUCGUAAAACUCUUUUCAGGGAUCUUAAAGCCUGUCUGUCAACAACAGGCAGGUCUGACUCUCGCUGGAAGAAGCCCCAGCCAACUACGUGCCAGCAGCUGCGGUAAUACGUAGGGGGCGAGCGUUAGUCGGAAUUACUGGGUGUAAAGGGUAUGUAGGCGGCCCUUCAAGUCGCGUGUCAAAGUCCAGUGCUCAACGCUGUGUGUGAACGCGAGACUGACGGGCUUGAGGGCUGGGGAGGUGAGCGGAAUUCCCGGUGUAGUGGUAAAAUACGUAGAGAUCGGGAGGAACACCAGCGGCGCAGGCGGCUCACUAGACAGUUUCUGACGCUAAGAUACGAAAGCGUGGGGAGCAAACA